CCUACGGGUGGCAGCAGUGAGGAAUAUUGGUCAAUGGACGAGAGUCUGAACCAGCCACGUAGCGUGAAGGAUGACUGCCCUCUGGGUUGUAAACUUCUUUUAUAUGGGAAUAAAAUGUUCCACGUGUGGGAUUUUGUAUGUACCAUAUGAAUAAGGCUCGGCUAACUCCGUGCCAGCAGCCGCGGUAAUCCGGAGGUUCCGAGCGUUAUCCGGAUUUAUUGGGUUUAAAGGGAGCGUAGGUGGAUUGUUAAGUCAGUCGUGAAAGUUUGCGGCUCAACCGUAAAAUUGCAGUGGAAACUGGCAGUCUUGAGUACAGUAGAGGUGGGCGGAAUUCCUGGUGGAGCGGUGAAAUGCUUAGAUAUCACGAAGAACUCCGAUGGCGAAGGCAGUUCACUGGACUGCAACUGACACUGAGGCUCGAAAGUGUGGGUAUCAAACAGGAUUAGAUACCCUUGUAGUC
This 460-nucleotide ribosomal RNA is filed under the name uncultured bacterium. Its description in RNAcentral is "partial 16S ribosomal RNA". It matches the Rfam family "Bacterial small subunit ribosomal RNA", at positions 338 to 795 of the family's 1533-position model. The record is from RNAcentral.